RNAcentral lists this ribosomal RNA (460 nucleotides) under uncultured bacterium. RNAcentral describes it as "partial 16S ribosomal RNA". It matches the Rfam family "Bacterial small subunit ribosomal RNA", at positions 338 to 795 of the family's 1533-position model. The record is from RNAcentral.
CCUACGGGCGGCAGCAGUGAGGAAUAUUGGUCAAUGGACGCAAGUCUGAACCAGCCAUGCCGCGUGCAGGAAGACGGCUCUAUGAGUUGUAAACUGCUUUUGUACGAGGGUAAACGCAGAUACGCGUAUCUGUCUGAAAGUAUCGUACGAAUAAGGAUCGGCUAACUCCGUGCCAGCAGCCGCGGUAAUACGGAGGAUUCAAGCUUUAUCCGGAUUUAUUGGGUUUAAAGGGUGCGUAGGCGGUCGGAUAAGUUAGAGGUGAAAUCCCGAGGCUCAACUUCGGAAUUGCCUCUGAUACUGUUCGGCGAGAGAGUAGUUGCGGUAGGCGGAAUGUAUGGUGUAGCGGUGAAAUGCUUAGAGAUCAUACAGAACACCGAUUGCGAAGGCAGCUUACCAAGCUACUUCUGACGUUGAGGCACGAAAGCGUGGGGAGCAAACAGGAUUAGAUACCCGAGUAGUC